GACGAACGCUGGCGGCGUGCUUAACACAUGCAAGUCGAACGGAAAGGCCCCUUUGGGGGUACUCGAGUGGCGAACGGGUGAGUAACACGUGAGUAACCUGCCCUUGACUUCGGGAUAACUUCUGGAAACUGGGGCUAAUACCGGAUAGGAAUCCUUGCUGCAUGGUGGGGGUUGGAAAGCUUCGGCGGUUUUGGAUGGACUCGCGGCUUAUCAGCUUGUUGGUGGGGUAGUGGCUUACCAAGGCUUUGACGGGUAGCCGGCCUGAGAGGGCGACCGGCCACAUUGGGACUGAGAUACGGCCCAGACUCCUACGGGAGGCAGCAGUGGGGAAUAUUGCACAAUGGGCGGAAGCCUGAUGCAGCAACGCCGCGUGCGGGAUGACGGCCUUCGGGUUGUAAACCGCUUUCAGCAGGGGCGAAGCUUGUGGUGACGGUACCUGCAGAAGAAGCACCGGCUAACUACGUG
This 465-nucleotide ribosomal RNA is filed under the name uncultured bacterium. Its description in RNAcentral is "partial 16S ribosomal RNA". It matches the Rfam family "Bacterial small subunit ribosomal RNA", at positions 28 to 507 of the family's 1533-position model. The record is from RNAcentral.